UACGGGGGGGGUAAGCGUUGUUCGGAAUUACUGGGCGUAAAGGGCUCGUAGGCGGCCAACUAAGUCAUACGUGAAAUCCCUCAGCUUAACUGGGGAACUGCGUGUGAUACUGGAAGGCUUGAAUCCGGGAGAGGGAUGUGGAAUUCCAGGUGUAGCGGUGAAAUGCGUAGAUAUCUGGAGGAACACCGGUGGCGAAGGCGACAUCCUGGACCGGUAUUGACGCUGAGGCGCGAAAGCCAGGGGAGCAAACGGG
This 253-nucleotide ribosomal RNA is filed under the name uncultured bacterium. RNAcentral describes it as "partial 16S ribosomal RNA". It matches the Rfam family "Bacterial small subunit ribosomal RNA", at positions 524 to 776 of the family's 1533-position model. The record is from RNAcentral.